RNAcentral lists this ribosomal RNA (492 nucleotides) under uncultured bacterium. RNAcentral describes it as "partial 16S ribosomal RNA". It matches the Rfam family "Bacterial small subunit ribosomal RNA", at positions 29 to 507 of the family's 1533-position model. The record is from RNAcentral.
AGUGAACGCUGGCGGUAGGCCUAACACAUGCAAGUCGAACGGCAGCACAGUAAGAGCUUGCUCUUACGGGUGGCGAGUGGCGGACGGGUGAGGAAUACAUCGGAAUCUACUUUUUCGUGGGGGAUAACGUAGGGAAACUUACGCUAAUACCGCAUACGACCUACGGGUGAAAGCAGGGGAUCUUCGGACCUUGCGCGAUUGAAUGAGCCGAUGUCGGAUUAGCUAGUUGGCGGGGUAAAGGCCCACCAAGGCGACGAUCCGUAGCCGGUCUGAGAGGAUGAUCAGCCACACUGGAACUGAGACACGGUCCAGACUCCUACGGGAGGCAGCAGUGGGGAAUAUUGGACAAUGGGUGCAAGCCUGAUCCAGCCAUACCGCGUGGGUGAAGAAGGCCUUCGGGUUGUAAAGCCCUUUUGUUGGGAAAGAAAAGCAGCAGGUUAAUACCCCGCUGUUCUGACGGUACCCAAAGAAUAAGCACCGGCUAACUUCGUG